AACAUUUACAAAUCCAAGGGCCGGAUUCAUAUACCAUUUGGUUAGAGGGAACAAGAUUGAUCUAGCCACGUACAUCUACAAUCAAAUUCUUGGUACAGGCACUUGGGGUGAUAGGCACUACUCCCUAAUUUUUCCCAGUCUGAUAUGUGGAAUAUGUAGAGCAGCAGGAAUACAAAUCCAACCUGGGGAAGCACCGGAAAAGCCAAGUCCCUUUAUCAAGCAAUCCACACUAGAGGCCCAAGACCGAGCAAGACUGAAGCACCAACAGAAAUUAGAGAACGCACGACGAC
RNAcentral lists this long non-coding RNA (290 nucleotides) under Olea europaea (common olive). RNAcentral's name for it is "long non-coding RNA (OEUR_LNC012171)". The record is from RNAcentral. Lineage: Eukaryota; Viridiplantae; Streptophyta; Magnoliopsida; Lamiales; Oleaceae.